AGAAUUCGGAACACCUUCGACAACCUUUGGGAAUAGGUUUUUCGCCGAUGUCGGUAUACCGCACUUCGUGGAUCUCGAAAAUAAACGGGCCGCUGGACUGGAACCUAUUUUAUUGGUAAACGUUUAGCGAUCUUCACGGCUGCCUCCGCUUUCCCGUUAGAUUGCUGGUGAUGAGGAGAUGAUGUAGUGUGCUGAAAAUCCCAUUCGAUGGCGAAUUCUUCCAUCUUUCGGCAAACGAAGCGGCUAUAACUGAUUCAGGUUUCAAAUCUUUCAAGAUAUUAACUUCAAAGUAAUCCGAGUAAUGGUCAACUGUCAUCAGAAAUGCUCUCUUAGUUCCUUGGUAAUCAGAGAAAACACAUCCAUGGAAACAAAUUGAAAAGGGUACACUGGAAUGCCGUGAGUCAUCAUAGGCGGAUUGGACUGAGAUGCAGCAAAUUUAGCACAUGUUGCACACGACUGGAUAGCUUCUUUUAUCUGAGCACUCAUUCCUGGCCAAAAGACAUUCGCUCGAGCCAGCUUCAACGUAGCUUCAAUUCCGUUAUGACUUGCGUGACAAAUAUCAAUGAGCUUCCUGCGCAAAGGUUGCGGUACCAGGAUUCUAUCGUUCCGGAAAAUAAGUCCGUCUUGGGUGGACAGCUCUUGCGAGUAACGAAAAUAAAUCUUCACACUAU
Wyeomyia smithii (pitcher-plant mosquito) is the source of this 671-nucleotide long non-coding RNA. RefSeq lists it as uncharacterized. Lineage: Eukaryota; Metazoa; Arthropoda; Insecta; Diptera; Culicidae. The record is from RefSeq and is a predicted model, not a curated record. The transcript has 3 exons.